This is a long non-coding RNA of Bombus pascuorum, 3717 nucleotides long. RefSeq lists it as uncharacterized. NCBI's taxonomy places the organism in Eukaryota, Metazoa, Arthropoda, Insecta, Hymenoptera, Apidae. The transcript has 2 exons. The record is from RefSeq and is a predicted model, not a curated record.
CACGCACGCCGCUUAACGAAAUAAUACUGUCGUGUUCUAGUUUCACUGAAAUUGACACCACUUUCAGUUGGUUUGUUAUUGAUUCGAAACAUCUCGAUAGAGAACUCAUACCUCGAACAAAAGCGAAUCAGAGUUUUGCUGUAUAGCAACGUUACGUGUAAACGCAAAUUCUUUGUUGACACACAGGCGUUCUGUUGGUUUUAAAUCAUUGAAAAAAAAUAAAAACUAGCAAGAAACAACGAGUCCGAAGUGCCAGCAUGUUACUAAUGUAGUGUACACAGUUUGCACACUUGUUUUGAUUUUUUCUGCUGUUUACUAACCUAUCUUGCCGAGUAUAUAAAUACAAGGAUAAAAUUUCGCGUGAAAGCCGUGACUAUCGAAGUAUACGUACAUUGUGCAUAUACAUUUCGUGUUUCGUUCUUCGUUUCGAUGUAUCGAUUGCUUUGAACGACUUUUAGUCGUUUUAACAGCGUAACUCUUAUUACAAAUCGAUUAAUCGUGAUUCCACGAUUCAUCACGUUCGUGCCGUAAGAAGGAUUAAGGUUAGUAACGUCGUGCGAUCUGGGUUGCCCUAGCAACGAAAAAAAACGCGCGAAUAACACCUAUAUUUGCUGUACAGUUCUCGCGAUUCCAAUACGCCUCGUGUCGUUUUUAUUGCUUAUGAAACUCCUCGAUAAUCUUUACGAAGCUUCCUACCACUACCAUUAUCAAGUGAAAUAUAAAGUUUGCAAUAAAAAAAUCAAAAUAAAGAGAAAAGCAAACCUUUAUCAAUAUACGUUCGUAUUUUACAAAAAAGCAGAUGCUUUGAAACAAAGAAAAGUGCACGACCAGAGUUCCUGUAGAAUCACCUUAUAUAUACAUAUAGGUUAUACAUUAACACGCAUGAAUAUAGUAAAGUCAUAGAUGAAGGUGAGUCAUAGUCAAAGGAUGCUUCACAGAUGGUUCAUGCAGCAGAUAAGGCUCGUUAAAGACAACUACUGGAGCAAUUUAAAUAAUAAUCGUAGAUGACAUGAAUAGUCAAAGAUAUUUUCUGUUAGUAAAAAUAGUUACUAGAAAAUCGUUAGAUAAAAGGUUAACGUUCGAACUUGAAUAAUUAAUUGUAAUUAAGUAUGUGCAUAGUAGUCAGAAACGUACAAGACAAAAGUAAGAAUUACAUACGGAGGAAUUUUCAUGAAACAUUGAUGUAUCUAUACAGGUUGAUCGCUAGUAAAUACGAUUGAUUGUUGAGCCGAUAAAUAGGUUAGAAUAUCAACAAUUUCUCAUUACGUAAAAAGUCACUGGCUCAGCGAAUCCUACCCUAAUCUGAGACGAUCGCGUACACUACGGUUCUUCGGUUCCCACAAUCUGUCCAGCGUAUUAUGAUUAUCCUGUUGUCGGUCACCGUGCCGACUUUCAGGAGAACACACGAAAAAAAUGUCGGAUUCGAUGCGAGACGAGCGGCAGCUAUGUGUACUUUUAACUCCUUGUUCACCUUUGACUUCCUCUUAUGAGGAAAAAGAGAAUAUUCUUGUUAAAAAUUCAAUUGGAAAUAUUGGAAAUACAGUAGCGUGCAGGUUAUAUAGCGCGGUGAAAGAAGAAUUUGCUUCGCGUUAUUGCACGUUGUCACGCUACGUUUAAUAUUAUUUUUCUAUUGAGGUUAAGAGGUGUAUCAUAAGUGGAAUUGUUUUUAUGCGAACUGACUGACAGUCGAAAUAAACCUAUGCUUGUCGUUCAAUCUAAAUGGGCUUUUGCCGAUUAAAGUGGAUCGUGGAUAUUUUGUACGGCAAAUCUAAUAUGUAAUUUAUAUUUCAAAGUAACGAAUUCAAAGUAAAAUGUUAUUUUUCGUUAACUCUUCCAAAGUGACAAUGUACUUAGUUUAAAUCGUGUCCACGAAAAAACAGUCGUAGUAUGUGUAUAAUAGUUAUAAGUAUAUUAAUAGAUUUUUCGUAACUUUUAUAAAGAGACCUCUACAUCAAUUAUUUUCUUUCACAACGUUGCAACUAAUAUAAAGAUCACUAAGAUUCCAGAAAUAUCUAAUAAUCUUGAAGUUCAUAAACUCAGGGAAGAGAUUAAAAUGAAAAUGCUUCUUGUUCGGAUGCUUCGACCAUAAUCCAUCACAAGCGUGACUCGAUAUUAUAAGACAAGGCUAAUUUUACUUUAGCGAGAUUAUUCUUCCGUCUUUUAAGCCAAGCGAUAGUGGUUAAGGUAACCGAUAACAUUUUCUAUGUAAUGUAUUCGCAGAAAGCGAAGUGCAGAACAAGUCUCAUUAUUGUAAUUCGCAGUGUGUGAAAUGCCAAAUACCGAAUCUUCCCUUUGAAUAUAUUCGCAGCACUUACUUGUCAUUUUCAUGCGUUUCUUUUCAGGAUCGGUUGCCGGCGCGAUAGCCUUGAGAGAGGGUGCGUUUCACGAGGUGCCCGCAUAGUACGGCGCGUAUACUUCUCGAUUUCUUUGAAUUUUGUCUCGUAGCUAGACCAAAAGUCCACCCUCGUUGUUAGGGAACAUGCACGUAAAGAGGAGACACGUAAUACAACGAAACGACGACGCCGCGAGAGACAAGCGUGGAAAGAGGCUGCUAUACACACCCGCAUGCGAUCCCGUACAAACCGUAACCUUACACGAACGUCGCGCCAAGUGUGUACUGUGUAUCGAUCCCGAGAGUACACACGAAGACAGCUCUGAGCGCCACCACGUUCUCUCUCUGUCUCUCGUAGGAGAGGCGCUGUCUCUUGUUGUUGCUUUCGUUAGAACGCCGACGGUUACUUAGACCCGGUACGUAUUUCAAGCAUGAGCUUGGAAAGAAAUUAUUGAAACUCGAUCGCACACCACACCAAUCUCUUCGUUUCCAUGCAACAUCGGCUAACAAUGAGAACAAGGACAUGGUUAAAGGCUUUUCUCGCGACUUAUUCGCCGGCUCCGUAUACCGGUUAUAAUCGUCGAAUAAAUCCAAAGGAUACGUAUCGUUGUUAUGUAUUUAGGUAGCUAUUAAGUGAAAAAGUUCUCUUACCUUAAUUUUCAGUGAAUGAUCUGAACACUGACACACAACGAUACAACACACACUCCACACCCGACGAAGGUUCGAGCUCGACUGAAAGUCUUCGCGGAGUGGGUUGGCGGGUGGCGCCACGGCCAAUCCCAACGUACUAACACGCAAUUCCAUCUUCCUCGUAAGACGUAUGUACAGUUCGCUCCGACGAAUUGUUCCGCUCGAGGUAAAUAUCGGAGAGAAAACACUCCUCCUGUUCUGCACACCCUUCGAUUAAACGCUCGAUGACAUUGUUUGCUGUCUCUAACCCUAUCCAAGAUCCCAAUUGUGCCCUGACGUGUUGAAUAAGAGAAGCUUCGUGAUAUUCUCGUAAAUUGAAACGAUCUAUUCGAGCAGACCGUGCAAUAUAGGAGCCACUUGACUCUCUUUGCUCUACUAUGCAAGGAAUAUGUAUGAAUUUCGAUGUAUUAUGAACAGCGAUACGUUUCAUAGCUUAUGCUUAUGGAUUUCUCGUAUCUCUUCGCGUAUACAAUAAACGUGCAGAGUGUGCUGCAUUAUACAUGCUGUGAUUUAAAUAUUCCUAAGCGCCUGAUAUCGGUAUGAAUCGAGUUGAGAAUCGAGAUAUUGAAGAUAUAGAUUACAUUAUCGAUUAUUACACGAUAAAUCCUGAUAUCACUUUUAAUCUUUUCUCUCCGAUACUAAAAAUUUCUGUAUUAACUAAUUUAACUUCAACAUUGAUCGAAUCAAAUGAUUGU